AUUUAUAAUAAAAAACAUAAAAAAAAAAGUUAUAACUAAUGACUAUCCAUCGUGUACUAAGUACAACUAUUUAUUUAUGUUUUUGUUUUCUUCUUUUUUUUAUUUUUUGCUUAAUAUGGAUUAAAUUUGUUUUGAAAUUAAUUCAAAAUAAAUACUCUAAAUUUUUUCAGAAAAAUAAAAUUAUUCAGAAAUAUAUUAAUUUUCAUAAUAAAAAUAAUGCAUUACAAAAAAAAUGUUUUAUAUAAAUUAGUUAGCUAUAAACUGGAUGAUAAAAAUAUUUAUAAACAAACCCCAUGUAGGAACCAUGUCUCCUUUUACUAUUUGAAAAGGACAAUUUUUUUUUUGCAUAAUUCUAAAUUUAUGCCCAUAAAACAGAGAUUAAAUGAAUUUUUUAUUCAAAAUGAUAUAACUGAUAUAAGGAAUUUUACACACUUGACAUAUGAGAAAGUUAUCCAAUUUAAAAAAGACAUGAGUAUUUGCUUAAUAGAGGCAUAUAAUUCUUUUGAUUAUAAAAAUAGAAAAGAACUUUUAUAUAUAUAUUUUAAAUUGUAUUCAAAACUUUAUUUUUUGUUUAAAAAUGAAAAUACUUAUUUUUUCCAUUUUUUAACAAAUAUCAUAUUAGUCUCAUGGGUCUACACCCCUUUCAAUGUUAUUUUUUAUUAUAAGGAAAAAAAAAAAAAUGAAUAAAUAAUAGUACCAGGUAAAAUAAUUUAAAUACAAAUAAAGUGGUAAUAAAUAAAGCA
Molecule: long non-coding RNA, 743 nt
Filed under: Piliocolobus tephrosceles (Ugandan red Colobus)
Lineage: Eukaryota; Metazoa; Chordata; Mammalia; Primates; Cercopithecidae
Description: lncRNA (ENSPTEG00000001090.1)
Source: RNAcentral